CAAUAGCGUAUAUUAAAGUUGUUGCAGUUAAAAGCUCGUAGUUGGAUUUCUGGCAGGAGCGACCGGUCAUGCACUAUGUGCGUGAACUUGUGUUGUCUCUGGCCAUCCUUGGGGAGAUCCUGUUUGGCAUUAAGUUGUCGGGCAGGGGAUACCAUCGUUUACUGUGAAAAAAAUUAGAGUGUUUAAAAGCAGGCUUAUGCCGUUGAAUAUAUUAGCAUGGAAUAAUAAGAUAGGACUUCGGAACUAUUUUGUUGGUUUGCGUUACGAAGUAAUGAUUAAAUAGGGACAGUUGGGGGUAUUCGUAUUUCGUUGUCAGAGGUGAAAAUUCUUGGAUUUCCGAAAAGACGAACUACUGCGAAAAGCAUU
Molecule: ribosomal RNA, 366 nt
Filed under: uncultured eukaryote
Lineage: Eukaryota
Description: SSU rRNA
Rfam family: Eukaryotic small subunit ribosomal RNA
Source: RNAcentral